This 3006-nucleotide long non-coding RNA is filed under the name Homo sapiens (human). RNAcentral describes it as "HSALNT0041280". Lineage: Eukaryota; Metazoa; Chordata; Mammalia; Primates; Hominidae. The record is from RNAcentral.
CACACACACACACACACACCCUGAAAGGGCUUUCCUUGUCUUAAGCCUCUGUGUAUGAAACACUCUGGAACCCACCGGCCUAGGUGUUAGAACAGCACCGAAGUUGCCAGGGCCAGGGGUCCAGCCAUCCUGACCUCUGCUAGCCACCCUGCAAGGGCCGAUGUUCCCACGCAGGAGGCCCCAGGGAGGUGGUACUGAGCAACCGGCCACACCCAAGGAAACAGCUCAGAGCUCAACUUCCUCCUGAAUUAGGCCACACCCGAGGCCUCCCGGGUCUCAUCCACGCCUCUGGGUCCAUCACUAAACAGAAGGCACAAUCCCACUAACUCUUACUCCAUCGCUGCUCAUGAAACUCCUGCCAGUAAGGACUGGGUCAAGCACCUGAAAACCAGAGCUCGUCCGUGGCUUCACUUGUUUUGGACUAAGGAGCUGAGGAGCGUGCAAGACUGUACUUGGAGAAUCUGUUUCUUGCUGCCAUUUCGUCACUGAACACUAUUUUUUUUCUCCUUCUUUUUUUGUAAGAAAAGGAGAACACAUAAAACCCCACCAGAACAAACUCCACUCGGCCCUGAAAGUAUUUACAAUCACGGCCCUGAAAGUACUGAAAGUAUUUACAAUCACGUUACAGUUCAUUCACUGCUGCAGAACCUCUCUCCAGCGAUCAAGGUCGAAGGGAGCCGACGUCGCCCUCUAUCGGCUCCCUGCUGCACUAGAAGGUUCUCCUGUCCCAGCCCCUGGGCUUGCCAGUGAUGCCCAGAGGAUGAUGUGCCUGGUGGCUGAGCUCUUCCAGAACUAAAGACGUGCGGAUCCCUGAGUAUCCAUAACCAUCAAAGCAUGAAGUAAUGCCUUGUAAGUGGUGUCACCACACCUCCCAGAAGAAGGAUGGAUUCCUACCAGAAGCAGUCAAACAUAGUGCCGGAUCAUCUAAGUGAAACGGAUCCCCAUGGGUGCUGCUAUUGGGAUACCAAAGGUCUGAAGUUCAUCCAAUGCAAUAGCAGAAAUAAUUACAUCUGUGAGCAUGUGAGAAGAACCCUGAGUUAGUCCCAAGUGCAAAUCACCAUCUCCAACCAAUUCCUCCACCAAUUGAUGGAUGUUGGGGAGUGGGGUACAGCAACCCCUCCAAGUCCUUCCUCCCUCUAUAUAGCCCAGGAGACUCCCCUCCCACCAGCCUGGCCCCCAGAGUGCUGACUGGCAACAAUAUUCCAAGUUAAAAUAGUUUGCUAAAUAGUUAUACAAUUAGUUUACAAUUCAAAUAUAUCAGAGGAAAAGACAGGGAAAAAAAUUCUAAGAUACAUGAAUCCCAGACCAUUGCUCUCCAAAUAUUUUCAAGUGAUUCAUCUCCUUUAUUUAAAAAAUGAAUUAACCACCAGAUGGGACACUCAUACAUUCCUGAUGGUUGUAGGAAUCAGUAGACCCUGUAUGGAAAGCAAUAGGAUAAUAUUUCAUAGGAUCAAAUUAAAAUGUUCACAGCAUUGGUUCCAGGAAAUUGGCUUCUGGAGAAUUUAUACUCCAGAAACAAUUCAACAAAAGAACACAGCUCUGUGCAUGCAGAUGCUCAUUAGCCCAUCACCUAGAGUAAGGGAAAGUGGAGAUCCCAAUGAACAACAAUGAGAUGGGUUAGCGAACUGUGACCUAUCAGCCCAAUGGACAUUUAAGCAAUCACUGAAAAGUAGAAACAUGAAGAUAUUACACAACAUGGAAACUGUUUAUGGAGUAUAUUUAGGUAAAAAGGAAAAAAAGGCAGAACUGUAUAUCUGUGGUUGGAUAUACUUUUUUUUUUUUAAUAUUAAGCACCAACCAAAAGAAGAAAGGAGGAUAGAAAAAAUAAAAUGGAAGAUGUAGGGUGGGCAGAUUAGGGCUGCGUUUGUUGCUUGCUUUCAUGUUACCAUCAUAGCGUUUUUGCCACUUACAAAGGAGGAAAAAAAUCAAUUCUGUGCCAACCCAGACAACAGAGACCUGAGUGGGGGUUGGGAAGAGAGAUUUUUCAGCACAGAAUCAGACUCCUUCUCCAAAGAGCUGUGUGGCCUUCACCUGCAAGGCGACCUCUUCCACAAGCAGAGGCCAGGACAAAAAGAGGCACCUGUGAGCGACAAAGACGGUUUCCUUGGUUUCCCUCACGGCGCCAAGCGGAGUGGCCGCCUCCCACCACAGGGCCCCCUAAUGGGCGCUUUUGUCCUGCGGGGCAGAGGGACCUCAUUAGAAGGCGCUGGUGCUAAAGGGAAAUGCAUUUCCAGAACAGGAGGUUUCAUCAUUCCUAGCGUUAGCGACAGAAUGGUGACAGAAGCUCUGUGGACGUAUUUUCCAGCGUUCAGUUCACAUCAAGGAUGGGUAUGCACUGGCGGAAAAGGUCAGCUCGCAGAAUGAUCGCCCAUCCACACAGCGUUUGGAGGUCAGACGUUCCUGAUGACUGUGAAAAUGGGGAGGUGAGAAGAGGUCGUCAAAGGGAGCAGCCUUUUAAAGCCAGGUACAGGUUAAAGCCCUGAGGCCAGAGCCUUGCCCAGGCUCCUCUAGCGUGGAGAGCUCCCGCCUUACGGUACAGCUGGCACCUGCUGGUCCCCAGGGCCCUUCGCUGCGACUGCGGCAGACAACCUUGGCAAAGAUGCUGGGGACCGCCCGGGCUGGAAAACGUCGGCCUCUGGCGCUUGAGAAAGGCCAGGCGGACUCCUGCAAUACCCUCGGUAAACUGUCACCUGUCAAUCACUUGACCUAAAUACACCAGCCACUGGAGGAAGGGGAGGAGGGGGUUAGUCGGAGCAUGCUCAGUGAUCAGGAUGACAUCACUUAAUCAAUGCUGGGGACGGGAAGGCUGCAUCAGCAGCCUGGAGCAGGCUGCCAGGAACGUGUCAGCGGGGACCGGGAGGCUCCCAUUAACUCGGUCCCUCCCCACGCGGCUCGCAUACAAAGGGGGCACCAUCAGCCACACACGCUACGGACAGCGGGCGGGGAAGGGGCGGGGGACCGAGCUGGUUUGUUUCAUCUGACAGAUUCCUUUAAGAACUACAAUCC